This 519-nucleotide ribosomal RNA is filed under the name gamma proteobacterium RK04. RNAcentral's name for it is "bacterial SSU rRNA". It matches the Rfam family "Bacterial small subunit ribosomal RNA", at positions 960 to 1474 of the family's 1533-position model. Lineage: Bacteria; Pseudomonadati; Pseudomonadota; Gammaproteobacteria. The record is from RNAcentral.
CGCGAAGAACCUUAACCAGGUCUUGACAUCUUCUGACAAUCCCAGAGAUAGGAUGUCCCCUUCGGGGGCAGAGUGACAGGCCGGGGAUGGUUGGGGUUAGCUCGCGUCGUGUGAUGUUGGGUUGGGUCCAUCCCGCCACGAGGGCCACCCAUUUCCUUAAUAUCCAAACGGUUAAGCUGCGAACUUUAAGGAUACUGCCAGUGACAAACUGGAGGAAGGCGGGGACGACGUCAAGUCAUCAUGGCCCUUACGACCAGGGCUACACACGUGCUACAAUGGUCGGUACAAAGGGUUGCUACCUAGCGAUAGGAUGCUAAUCUCAAAAAGCCGAUCGUAGUCCGGAUUGGAGUCUGCAACUCGACUCCAUGAAGUCGGAAUCGCUAGUAAUCGCGGAUCAGAAUGCCGCGGUGAAUACGUUCCCGGGCCUUGUACACACCGCCCGUCACACCAUGGGAGUUUGUUGCACCAGAAGUAGGUAGUCUAACCGCAAGGAGGACGCUACCACGGAGCCGAAGGUGA